Tarenaya hassleriana is the source of this 2041-nucleotide RNA transcript. RefSeq lists it as uncharacterized. NCBI's taxonomy places the organism in Eukaryota, Viridiplantae, Streptophyta, Magnoliopsida, Brassicales, Cleomaceae. The transcript has 5 exons. The record is from RefSeq and is a predicted model, not a curated record.
AUUUAUAUAGGACCCACCAGAAAUUCGACCGUUGCCCACAACGUUCCGAAAUGGGCCACGUGUUCUUUUUAAAAAAUUCCAAUUUCCUUUUUAAAAACUUGCUCUUCUUAUCUCUUCAUUCUUCUUGCACUGACCGUUGGCUCUCCCGAUCCAUGAAUAAUACGCCCCUGCGUCUUCGAUCGAUUACCCAUUCUUGAAUCUCUGAAUUUCUCGUCUGAAUCAGCCUCCUUGAUCUCAAAUUCGACAAAAAUGGCGGCUUUGGCGCCGGGAAUUCUGCAGAAGCUUCUAGACGGGAUGAAAACAGGGGUCAAACCAACGGGCGAGCACCGGAGCUCUCUGUUGCAGGUCACCGAUAUCGUCCCAGUGGAUCUGGACGAGAAGAAUCUCUUGCCCAAACACGGCUUCUUCAUCAAAGUCUCUGAUUCUUCUCACUCCAUCUACGUCACGCUCCCUUCCGACCAAGACGAUGUCGUCCUCAGCAACAAGAUGCAGCUGGGUCAGUUCAUCUACGUCGACAGGCUCGAGCCAGGGUCCCCUGUUCCCGUCGUCAAAGGCGCCAAGCCGAUCCCCGGUCGGCACCCGUUGGUCGGAACGCCGGAGCCAUUGAUGGGUCUGAGGGGAAAGGCCGAGAGAUCGGGUCAGGAGCCUGGGUCGAGGCCGAGAAGAGGGUCGUGGGGCCAAAACAGCGACAUUUCGUCACCGCUGGUUCUGAAACCAGUGCCGUUGGAUUUCGACCAAUGCACACCGGCGAAGCAGAGGCCUGCUGCGGCCAGAUUCGCGGCGUCUCCGAUGUCGAGGGGGAAAUCAGGCGGAGGAGUGAGGAGCUCUUUCGGAGGAGGGAUUUUGGCGAAAAUGGCGGAUCUGAAAGGGGAGAGCCCAGCGGUGCUGAGGAAGAGCUGCGUGGUUCCUCCGGCUUCGAAGUUUCCAAGGAGCAGAAGUGUUUGUGAUAGAGAGGCGAAGAUCUCCUCCGUGUCUUCAUAUGUUCUUAGUCCCAUCAAAUCCUCUGAAAAGAAAAGCACAACAUCUCCACCCAGUUUGCGCAGUGGAAGAGCAGCAGCUUCUGUGGAAGCCCAUGGAGAUGGAGAGAGGUCCAUUUCAAGGAGACAGGAAUCUCAUCACCAUAAGCUGGAAAGACCCGAGAAGAACAGCAGCUUUCUCCCUUCAAAUCUCCCCGGAAGACUUAGCACACUGAGCAAGGAAGCCAUACAACAUCGAGAGACAGCUCAGAAGAUAGCCCUUCAGGCACUGAGAGAGCCUCCAGCCACUGAAACCAUUGUCCGACAUCUCAAGACAUUUGCCAAGCUAACCAAGUCAGCAAAAGCCGAAACCCCUGCUUCAUGCUUUGAGCAGUUCUUGGAGUUUCAUCACCAGAUAGCUCAAGCCGUGAGCGAAAUGGCGUCCACUGAAGCAGCCAUUUUAGCAACUGGCAACAAAUCACAAAACAAAAACCCUAAAUCUGAAAAUCAGAAGCAAAGGGAAGAAGAUGGGUCGUAUUCAAUCCUUCACGAAAUUGCUCACAACACGAUUGAUCAAGAGAAAACCUCUGAGUUAGGCUCAUCGAAGAGGCGGCUUGCUCUGAAGCAGAAGAGUUCAGGAAAAGUACUGAAAGCAGACGACGAGAACAAGAAUCCGACUUCUAGUGGGUUAAGUAACACGAUAAGAUUGGCAAAGGAGAUCGAGAGCGAAGCUGCAAACUGGUUCAUGGAGUUCCUCGAAAAGGCUCUGGAAAAGGGCAUGAAGAAAUCUAAAGGAGCUGCAGAUGCAGAUAUCAAGAAAGUUUCGCAGUCUCUGAUUCUGAAAGUUAUAAACUGGGUGGAGGCAGAACAGUCAGACAGCACGAGACGUCCGAUCCAUCCAAAAGCAUCGCAAAUAGCUAGAAAGCUUAGAAUCAAAAUGAAGAAUCCUUAAUUCUGAUUCUUUCUGUGUGUUCUUAGGUUCCACUAUUACAGAACUCACGCACGCCGUUGUACUCAUCAUGUAAAAGGGUUUGCAGAAUGUAAAUACAGUUACGUGAAUCAGAUGACCCAGAACCAAGAGAAGA